UGGAAUAAUGGAAUAGGACGUGUGGUUCUAUUUUGUUGGUUUCUAGGACCGCCGUAAUGAUUAAUAGGGACAGUCGGGGGCAUCAGUAUUCAAUUGUCAGAGGUGAAAUUCUUGGAUCUAUUGAAGACUAACUACUGCGAAAGCAUUUGCCAAGGAUGUUUUCAUUGAUAAGGAACGAAAGUUAGGGGAUCGAAGACGAUCAGAUACCGUCGUAGUCUUAACUAUAAACUAUGCCGACUAGGGAUCGGACGAUGUUAUUUCUUGACGCGUUCGGCACCUUUCGAGAAAUCAAAGUGCUUGGGCUCCAGGGGGAGUAUGGUCGCAAGGCUGAAACUUAAAGAAAUUGACGGAAGGGCACCACCAGGGGUGGAACCUGCGGCUUAAUUUGACUCAACACGGGGAAACUCACCAGGUCCAGACACAGUGAGGAUUGACAGAUUGAGAGCUCUUUCUUGAUUCUGUGGGUGGUGGUGCAUGGCCGUUCUUAGUUGGUGGAGUGAUUUGUCUGCUUAAUUGCGAUAACGAACGAGACCUUAACCUGCUAAAUAGCCCGUACUGCUCUGGCAGUUCGCUGGCUUCUUAGAGGGACUAUCGGCUCAAGCCGAUGGAAGUUUGAGGCAAUAACAGGUCUGUGAUGCCCUUAGAUGUCCUGGGCCGCACGCGCGUUACACUGACAGGGUCAGCGAGUACCUCCUUGGCCGAAAGGUCCGGGUAAUCUUGUUAAACCCUGUCGUGCUGGGG
This 741-nucleotide ribosomal RNA is filed under the name fungal sp. PP MB-2013. RNAcentral describes it as "SSU rRNA". It matches the Rfam family "Eukaryotic small subunit ribosomal RNA", at positions 810 to 1575 of the family's 1831-position model. The record is from RNAcentral. Lineage: Eukaryota; Fungi.